This 350-nucleotide ribosomal RNA is filed under the name uncultured bacterium. RNAcentral describes it as "bacterial SSU rRNA". It matches the Rfam family "Bacterial small subunit ribosomal RNA", at positions 10 to 350 of the family's 1533-position model. The record is from RNAcentral.
AGUUUGAAAUCAUGGCUCAGGAUGAACGCUAGCUACAGGCUUAACACAUGCAAGUCGAGGGGAAACGAUAUUGGAAGCUUGCUUCCGAUAGGCGUCGACCGGCGCACGGGUGAGUAACGCGUAUCCAACCUGCCCACCACUUGGGGAUAACCUUGCGAAAGUAAGACUAAUACCCAAUGACGUCUCUAGAAGACAUCUGAAAGAGAUUAAAGAUUUAUCGGUGAUGGAUGGGGAUGCGUCUGAUUAGCUUGUUGGCGGGGUAACGCCACAAGGCUACGAUCAGUAGGGGUUCUGAGAGGAAGGUCCCCCACAUUGGAACUGAGACACGGUCCAAACUCCUACGGGAGGCA